GGCCCCGAAGUGUUUCAUGUCGGGUUGCAAACCCGAAGACGACCAACUGGUCCGGGGCUU
RNAcentral lists this transfer RNA (60 nucleotides) under Python regius (ball python). RNAcentral describes it as "tRNA-Cys". Lineage: Eukaryota; Metazoa; Chordata; Lepidosauria; Squamata; Pythonidae. The record is from RNAcentral. RNAcentral also lists the same sequence under 1 other name.